This 500-nucleotide ribosomal RNA is filed under the name uncultured bacterium. RNAcentral's name for it is "partial 16S ribosomal RNA". It matches the Rfam family "Bacterial small subunit ribosomal RNA", at positions 30 to 523 of the family's 1533-position model. The record is from RNAcentral.
AUUGAACGCUGGCGGCAUGCCUUACACAUGCAAGUCGAACGGCAGCGCGGACUUCGGUCUGGCGGCGAGUGGCGAACGGGUGAGUAAUACAUCGGAACGUACCCUGUUGUGGGGGAUAACUAGUCGAAAGAUUAGCUAAUACCGCAUACGACCUGAGGGUGAAAGUGGGGGACCGCAAGGCCUCACGCAGCAGGAGCGGCCGAUGUCUGAUUAGCUAGUUGGUGGGGUAAAGGCCCACCAAGGCGACGAUCAGUAGCUGGUCUGAGAGGACGAUCAGCAACACUGGGACUGAGACACGGCCCAGACUCCUACGGGGGGCAGCAGUGGGGAAUUUUGGACAAUGGGGGCAACCCUGAUCCAGCAAUGCCGCGUGUGUGAAGAAGGCCUUCGGGUUGUAAAGCACUUUUGUCCGGAAAGAAAUCGCGCUGGUUAAUACCUGGCGUGGAUGACGGUACCGGAAGAAUAAGCACCGGCUAACUACGUGCCAGCCGCCGCCGUAA